CAUGGUGCCAAAAAUCUGUGCAAAAAAAUAGCUACCGCAGGAAAGGUAAAAGGACAGUCUCUUCUCCUUCACUGGCUGAGGGAUAUAGUUAACCAUUUAUGGUGGUGCUGCAAGACAGCAGAAACAUUUCAGCAGUUUCUUGCACUUUGGAUUGGAGUUCUGCUUCAUGUUUGCAACAAUCACACCUGGGAAACGGGAAGCUGCCAACACGACCACCUUGAAGACACUCAGGUUAAAGAGUGGAUUGAGAGAGAUUCAAAGAGCCAUAAAGCGCUAGUGGAGAUCGUCCUCAACAAGCGUUGGCAGAAGGAUGUCCACAAGUAUCUGCGCUUCAGAUCGACAGCACAUCUCGAGUCAUUUCAGAAUCACAUUCUGAUGUAUGCCAGCAAGCGCCAGGCCUUCACUCCCCGAGUGUAUGACACGAGAGUUGUGCUCGCAGCCCUGGACUACAAUUUCCACCAAGAACGACCAACAUACAGGACGGCUGAGGGCCAACAAGUUUAUAGGAAGAAGUACAAUAAAAAUGCAAGAAGAUAUAGCCUACGCCAUAAAGUGUCAAAAAUCAUAUGGUUACAUCCCAGAGUUACAAGCACGCAUCUUGAAAGGGAGAGUCACAAGUGAAAUUGGGAUGCCAUGAAAGAGGUCCCUAAGAACAGAUGACCCAAGGCGGCUUGGUCUUGUGCCACCGAUACCGUCACCACCGACAUCAGAGUUGGUACAUUCACAGGUCAGCAGAGGUCUGGGUAAGUGACAAACAUCUACUUGCCCUUAUUUUAGCCCAUUAACUUUGCCUCAAACUGA
Long non-coding RNA from Rhinichthys klamathensis goyatoka, 801 nucleotides. RefSeq lists it as uncharacterized. The record is from RefSeq and is a predicted model, not a curated record. Lineage: Eukaryota; Metazoa; Chordata; Actinopteri; Cypriniformes; Leuciscidae. The transcript is spliced from 5 exons.